GAUGAACGCUGGCGGCGUGCCUAAUACAUGCAAGUCGAGCGAACGGACGAGAAGCUUGCUUCUCUGAUGUUAGCGGCGGACGGGUGAGUAACACGUGGAUAACCUACCUAUAAGACUGGGAUAACUUCGGGAAACCGGAGCUAAUACCGGAUGAUAUUUUGAACCGCAUGGUUCAAAAGUGAAAGACGGUCUUGCUGUCACUUAUAGAUGGAUCCGCGCUGCAUUAGCUAGUUGGUAAGGUAACGGCUUACCAAGGCAACGAUGCAUAGCCGACCUGAGAGGGUGAUCCGCCAACGAGGAGCAUGACCACUGUCCAAACGCCUAGGGGAGGCAGCAGGGGGAUAUUUCCCAGAAGGGGGGAAAGCCUGACGGUGAAACGCCGCGGGGGUGAAGAAAGUUUGUGGAUUGUAAACCUGUGUUAUGGGGGAAGAAAAUAUGUUAAGGUAACUGUGCAACUUUUGGCGGGCCUUAACCAAAAAGCCCCGGCAAACUGCGU
Molecule: ribosomal RNA, 496 nt
Filed under: uncultured bacterium
Lineage: Bacteria
Description: partial 16S ribosomal RNA
Rfam family: Bacterial small subunit ribosomal RNA
Source: RNAcentral